GCCUCCUUUGUGAAAGAUAAGGUGGCUGAGUGCCUUCACUGUAUUUUUUUAUCACCAUUUGUAGGUUAGUCUGAAUCACGUUUUGCCAGAGGGCAGAGAAGCACUUGAAGACCAAUGGAAUCACAUCAAAAGAACACAAGGCAUUCAAAAAGGUUCUCACUGGUCUAAGAAGUCACCUAUUUACUCAUAUAAUCAAUAAAUGUGCUUGUUAAGUACUUUGUGAGACACUGGAGAUGGAGUGAGAAGAACAGGGGACCUCAGCCUUCAUGGAUCUCAGAACCACAAUGGAUUGAGACCAAAGUGAUUCCUGCAGGGCCUGACCGUCUAUGGAUCCACUUCCUGUGCCUGAGGCUGCUGAGAGAUAGUUUUACAAGCUCAGCCCACCUACACAGCAGUGAGCCUGGAACAGUGGUGAAUGAAAAGAAGAGAUUCAAGAAGACAUCCUUGAAGCUUUUGGACAUGAGUUCAAAGAUCACUGUGGUAAAACUGAGCAAUAGCCUUAGCUGUGGAAGAUAUGCAGAGAAAAUAAAUGAUUGAGAAAAGUUAAUUUGAUCAAAGAGGGCUAACUUCCAUUAUUUUGUUUCAUCUUUUUAACACAGU
Molecule: long non-coding RNA, 600 nt
Filed under: Chinchilla lanigera (long-tailed chinchilla)
Lineage: Eukaryota; Metazoa; Chordata; Mammalia; Rodentia; Chinchillidae
Description: lncRNA (ENSCLAG00000026184.1)
Source: RNAcentral